CGUCGGAGCUCAUGUGGCGCAGUGGCAGCGUAGAGCUGACCAUGUAGCGACCCGGAGCGCCGCCUCUCGGCAGCCUGGCUCCCAGCCCUUCAACACAAGCUCCUCAGUUAUCGACAUUACGCUGACGGUCUCCCUACAUUACUGAUAUAUAAUAUUUAACCGUUCCUGUUUAUUCAUCAUUUGAAGAGUACUUUAACCCAACUUUGCAGCGUUUUCCAUGUUUACCCACUGACAUAAGACAACCUCCUCCCGCACAUAUCAGAACAUCAUGUGCUAUUACUACCUUAGGAACAUGAUGGCAAAGGAUUCCAGGAAUUGUGUUGGAAUUAAUUAACUUGGAGACGACUCAUUUAUGCCUGGCAACGCGAAGUGUGUCAAUCAGUCCAAGUCUGAUUAAUCCGCAUCAUGAUUUAAUGACAUGUGUGUGCAACUCUGGUUUACUUCAUUUAUAAUUUCGGGGUCACUGAUUAAAGUUACUUCGGUUCCUAUCCGUUACCCUUCAUCCCUCUCGACAUUAAUUGCCGCGGGAACUUUCCAGAUCACUCAGGACGCUUUGAGGGGAAGAUUAGCGCAAAACCCAACAGCGUAAUGGGUGUUGCUUCUCACUUGUGAUUGCUAGCAGUGAGCAUGGAAGAGAAACAGCAGAUCCCGCUGUAAGAGGGCAGUGGUGACCACAGACCUCCAUUUUGAUUACAUAUUCACGAUUAUUCUUGGAAAAAUACUGCAGUUAUUUGCUAUUGCGUACUUCACAAAAAAUGACCAGGAAACUCCUUUUAUUCCAUGCCAGCAUCCAUUUCGGAAGGAUUUACAGGUUUAUAAUCAAAUUCUGGAGAGUGUGAAGAGACCGUGCCUUUAUGGAAUGUUGUUUCUGCUGCAGAGGGAUGCUGUCACAGUGGUGCCAAAAUGUCUCCUUCAGCCAAGCAGUUGGCUUCACUGGCUGGAAGCGGAAGUGAUUUUCCAAGACAGAGGGGGAACAGAAAGAGGAAAUAAGAUUUCCCUACCACCUCAACAGCAGAGGAUGAGGUUGCUCCAAGUCAUUUCCAUCUCUAUCAAAGUCAACAGAAGCCUCAAUAUUACACUCAUCUUGUUAACAUUAAUAAAGGAGUGAAGAAGCAGAAAUUAUAACUUCAACAGAAAGGCAAUGGAACAAGUCCAUCUUGAAUUAAGUCUAUCUAACUCUUCCUGAGGUCUCUACCAAUGAUGUUAAACACAAUAUAUAAAGCAUUGCAUUUCAAACAUUAAGGAUCACUUGUUGAAUAUUACUUCAUGCUGUUUGAUUUGAGGUACUGAAAUGUAAAGGACACAGUAGGUAAAUGAUCUUUUCAGCCUUCAUCUAAUAUGUCUUGCUAAAAUUAUACAAGGCACUACUCAGGCCACUGUCGGAAAACUGUGAACAGUAUUGGGACCCCUAACCAAAGGGGAGAUGAAAUAGCACUAGAGGUAGUUUAGGGAGGACUCACUAGGCUGAUACAAGGAAUUGAGGGACUGUCUUAUCAGGGAUAGUGAAAUAGGUGGGGCCUGUAUUUGAUGGAAUAUAAAAGAGUGAGAGGCAUCCAUAUUGAAACAUACAAGGUUCUUAGGGAAUUGACAGGAUAAAUGUAGAAAUGUGUCCCUUUGUGAGAGAGUUCAGGACCACAGGAAAUAAUUUCAUAACAAAGGGUCACCCAUCUAAGGCAGAGAUUAUGAAGUAUUUCUCCUCUUGGAGGGUAGUGAAUCUGUGGAAUUCUUUACUGCAGGGGCUGUUGAGGC
This is a non-coding RNA of Chiloscyllium plagiosum (whitespotted bambooshark), 1749 nucleotides long. Lineage: Eukaryota; Metazoa; Chordata; Chondrichthyes; Orectolobiformes; Hemiscylliidae. The record is from RefSeq and is a predicted model, not a curated record.